UACGAGAAUGCUUGCAUUCUAGUGGCGAACGGGUGAGUAACACGUAAGAAUUUGCCUUUAGGACGAGGAUAACUUUUAGAAAUAAAAGCUAAUACUCGAUAUGCCAUCUGGUGAAACAAAGUAAUUUGCCUAAAGAGAAGCUUGCGUCUGAUUAGCUAGUUGGUAGGGUAAAGGCCUACCAAGGCGACGAUCAGUAGCUGGUCUGAGAGGAUGAUCAGCCACACUGGAACUGAGACACGGUCCAGACUCC
RNAcentral lists this ribosomal RNA (250 nucleotides) under uncultured bacterium. RNAcentral's name for it is "partial 16S ribosomal RNA". It matches the Rfam family "Bacterial small subunit ribosomal RNA", at positions 65 to 339 of the family's 1533-position model. The record is from RNAcentral.